Cyprinus carpio carpio is the source of this 526-nucleotide long non-coding RNA. The record is from Ensembl. NCBI's taxonomy places the organism in Eukaryota, Metazoa, Chordata, Actinopteri, Cypriniformes, Cyprinidae.
GGAGUUUAAAAGGAUCGGCAAGUGUGAGAACACGCUUGUGGCAAACAAAUCUGUUAGUUGAAGUUUUCAGUGACACGGAUUCUGGACCCACAGCGGGAAUAAUGAUGUUCUGCAGAGUGGCUUGGCAAAGACUUGCGGCUCUGGGACACAAAACACUCAAUCCUUUCAGCAAUGCUGUGUUCCCUACGCGACAGAUGUCCUUUGGUCUACCUGUGUCCGGCACAAACAUAGCUUACAUGGUACUUGGUGGCAGCUCGCUUACUGCUGCUCUUGUUUAUGCUUAUAAGACAAUAAACUCUGACAGUGCAAGAUAUAAUGAAAGAAUUGCUCAACUCGAGGCCAGACCUAAAAACAGCUGGAAUUAGAUUCCCAUUCAGAGAUCUUUCAUUGUUGGAUUCAUUGAAUUGAUGGGUGCCGUGAGGAAGGGUGUCACUUUUUGCUGCUGUUUGCUGCUGGUAUGUGUAUGUUACUGCAGUUCCUCAGGCCUGACCAUAUUUCUGAGGUUACUCAGCAGCCACUAAUCUAG